ACAGAGGCCAGGCCUUAGCGCGGCUCAGCCAUGAGCAACAGGAGUAGCUUUUCCCGGCUCACCUGGUGGGUAUCACUGUGCCGAGCGCUGUUGGCUCUCGGGGAACCUAGAAGUGUGGAAACCUAACACAUCCUGUGUCUCUAAGGUUCAGGAAGCAGAGGAAAGCUGUGGUCAGCGCCAGCGACAAGAAGAUGCCCAACGGAAUCUUGGAGGAGCAAGAGCAGCAAAGGGUGAUGCUGCUCAGCAGGUCACCCUCAGGGCCCAAGAAGUAUUUUCCCAUCCCCGUGGAGCACCUGGAGGAGGAGAUCCGUAUCAGAUCCGCCGA
This 325-nucleotide small RNA is filed under the name Pan troglodytes (chimpanzee). Its description in RNAcentral is "retained intron". Lineage: Eukaryota; Metazoa; Chordata; Mammalia; Primates; Hominidae. The record is from RNAcentral.